GUUGCUUCAUAUGGUGAACGCCCUGUAAAUUUCGAUUGUGUUGGGGAUGUUCUAGUUUCCGGAGCGUAGAUUAAAAUUAAGAAUUACCAGCACUAAACAGCACCGUGUCUGCUUUUUGCUUUUGCACCGUGUUACCUGUCUCCUGGUACAAAU
Molecule: small nucleolar RNA, 153 nt
Organism: Malus domestica (apple)
Lineage: Eukaryota; Viridiplantae; Streptophyta; Magnoliopsida; Rosales; Rosaceae
Product: small nucleolar RNA snoR137
Source: RefSeq, a predicted model, not a curated record